GGAAGCAGCUUGCUGCUUUGCUGACGAGUGGCGGACGGGUGAGUAAUGUCUGGGAAACUGCCUGAUGGAGGGGGAUAACUACUGGAAACGGUGGCUAAUACCGCAUAACGUCGCAAGACCAAAGAGGGGGACCUUCGGGCCUCUUGCCAUCAGAUGUGCCCAGAUGGGAUUAGCUUGUUGGUGAGGUAACGGCUCACCAAGGCGACGAUCCCUAGCUGGUCUGAGAGGAUGACCAGCCACACUGGAACUGAGACACGGUCCAGACUCCUACGGGAGGCAGCAGUGGGGAAUAUUGCACAAUGGGCGCAAGCCUGAUGCAGCCAUGCCGCGUGUAUGAAGAAGGCCUUCGGGUUGUAAAGUACUUUCAGCGGGGAGGAAGGUGUUGUGGUUAAUAACCGCAGCAAUUGACGUUACCCGCAGAAGAAGCACCGGCUAACUCCGUGCCAGCAGCCGCGGUAAUACGGAGGGUGCAAGCGUUAAUCGGAAUUACUGGGCGUAAAGCGCACGCAGGCGGUCUGUCAAGUCGGAUGUGAAAUCCCCGGGCUCAACCUGGGAACUGCAUUCGAAACUGGCAGGCUUGAGUCUUGUAGAGGGGGGUAGAAUUCCAGGUGUAGCGGUGAAAUGCGUAGAGAUCUGGAGGAAUACCGGUGGCGAAGGCGGCCCCCUGGACAAAGACUGACGCUCAGGUGCGAAAGCGUGGGGAGCAAACAGGAUUAGAUACCCUGGUAGUCCACGCCGUAAACGAUGUCUACUUGGAGGUUGUGCCCUUGAGGCGUGGCUUCCGGAGCUAACGCGUUAAGUAGACCGCCUGGGGAGUACGGCCGCAAGGUUAAAACUCAAAUGAAUUGACGGGGGCCCGCACAAGCGGUGGAGCAUGUGGUUUAAUUCGAUGCAACGCGAAGAACCUUACCUGGUCUUGACAUCCACAGAAGAAUCCAGAGAUGGAUUUGUGCCUUCGGGAACUGUGAGACAGGUGCUGCAUGGCUGUCGUCAGCUCGUGUUGUGAAAUGUUGGGUUAAGUCCCGCAACGAGCGCAACCCUUAUCCUUUGUUGCCAGCGGUUAGGCCGGGAACUCAAAGGAGACUGCCAGUGAUAAACUGGAGGAAGGUGGGGAUGACGUCAAGUCAUCAUGGCCCUUACGACCAGGGCUACACACGUGCUACAAUGGCGCAUACAAAGAGAAGCGACCUCGCGAGAGCAAGCGGACCUCAUAAAGUGCGUCGUAGUCCGGAUUGGAGUCUGCAACUCGACUCCAUGAAGUCGGAAUCGCUAGUAAUCGUGGAUCAGAAUGCCACGGUGAAUACGUUCCCGGGCCUUGUACACACCGCCCGUCACACCAUGGGAGUGGGUUGCAAAAGAAGUAGGUAGCUUAACCUUCGGGAGGGCGCUUACCACUUUGUGAUUCAUGACUGGGGUGAAGUCGUAACAAGGUAACCGUAGGGGAACCUGCGGUUGGAUCACCUCCUUACCUUAAAGAA
This 1478-nucleotide ribosomal RNA is filed under the name Salmonella enterica subsp. enterica serovar Enteritidis. RNAcentral describes it as "bacterial SSU rRNA". It matches the Rfam family "Bacterial small subunit ribosomal RNA". The record is from RNAcentral. Lineage: Bacteria; Pseudomonadati; Pseudomonadota; Gammaproteobacteria; Enterobacterales; Enterobacteriaceae.